AAGACAGGAGCCUCGUUCAAAGUUCCGCCCGGGGCCAGGCACAGCGCAGGCUCUCAGAGGAGGGCCCAGGAGUCCACAGGCUGCGGCGGCGCGAGACAAAAGUCGGAAGACAGGACCCCGCUGAGGAGUGAGGAGACAGCGGCCAACCCUCCGCCAGACCCUUCCGCCUGGUGCCUUUACUGGGCUCUGAGGAGGAAUUUGGUGGUUCAGUCGGCCCAUCCGUGGACACCAUAAAAACAAAGAGAAAACAGACACACACAGAUGCACACAUAGAUACACACAGAUACACACAGACACGGAUAUAUAGACACACACAGAUACACACACGUGGACACAGACACACACAUAGACACAGAUAUAUAGACACACACAGAUACACACACGUGGACACAAACACACACAGACAUACCCAUAGUUACGGAUAUAUGCAUGGAUACACAAUACACAGACACACAGAUGAUACAUGCAUAGACAGAUAUAUGGACACACACACACGGACACACAGAUACACACAUAGACACAUAGACAGACACAGAUACAGACACAGGCACAUGUAGACACACAUGGACAUACAAUACUCAGAUGAACACAGAGAUAAUAUACACAUAGACACAGAUCUAUAGAUACACAAAGACAUACACACAGAUAUACAUAGAUGCACACAUAGACACAGAUACACAUGUCAUCACACAUGGACACACACAGACACACACCAAUACACACAUAGACAUACGAAGACACAGGUACACAGACACGUAUACACACAGACACGCAUAUAUACAUACAGACGCAGAUAUACACACAGACACAGACAUACACACACACACAGACACAGAUAUACACAGAUACAUGGACAGAUACACAUUCACAUACACACAUAGAUACACAGAAACACACAGACACACAGACACAUAGAGACACACACACAGCCACACAGGCCCUGAGCCUCCCUGGGCCCUCCCUUGUGCAGAGGCGGAGGGGCUGGCUGUCGGGGAGGGCACCUGGAGAGGACACACAGCCCCAUCAGAGACCAGGGAGUGGCUCUGGGAGCUCUUUUCGUCCAAAGGGGCUGGAGCUCCAGUUAGCCAAGGUGAGGGCGUGGAGGAUUCCUGGGGGAAGCUUCGUGCUGCAAGGUGGAAAAGACAGAUAACAAGAGAAAAACAGAAGCUUAAUAGCAUGUAUACCUUGGUCUGCAAGGGACGGACUCGGGACAGGCUAUGUCGCAAAGGCGUGGCUUGGAGCUCAGCCUUAAAGACCAUGUUCGACGGAAACAAAGAGAAAGAGUGUGUGGGGAGGGGCCCAAGAAAUUACCCCAAACUGGGGUCAGGCCUUCUCCAUGGAUGAGCGUCUCCGGUGACUUACAGGCGGCCUUCUGGCCCAGAGAGGGGGCACCCUGGUGAGCGCAGAUGCCUG
This 1413-nucleotide long non-coding RNA is filed under the name Homo sapiens (human). Its description in RNAcentral is "non-protein coding lnc-PDGFA-8:7". Lineage: Eukaryota; Metazoa; Chordata; Mammalia; Primates; Hominidae. The record is from RNAcentral.